GUGCCUAAAUUUAAUGAGUAAGGAAAACCAUGUUGGUCUUGCUAAUCGCUCGACUGGUUGCUUCUAAGGCAGUGGGAUGAAGUUCAUCGUUGUCACUUUUCUUUAGUGGCCCGGUCGAUAUGGAGUUCCAUAUGAAGCGCAAAUUUUUGAAAGGGUACAGGUCGUCCCAUUGGACUCAUGAGCUUACUACUCUUUCGAGCUGUAGAGUUCAGGUGAAGCGAUUUGCCCU
Molecule: non-coding RNA, 229 nt
Organism: Glossina pallidipes
Lineage: Eukaryota; Metazoa; Arthropoda; Insecta; Diptera; Glossinidae
Source: Rfam